Nomascus leucogenys (northern white-cheeked gibbon) is the source of this 107-nucleotide small nuclear RNA. NCBI's taxonomy places the organism in Eukaryota, Metazoa, Chordata, Mammalia, Primates, Hylobatidae. The record is from Ensembl.
UUGCUCACUUCAGCAGCACAUAUACUAAAACUGGAACGAUACAGAGAAGAUUAGCAUGGCCCCUGGGCAAGGAUGACACGCAAAUUUGUGAAGCGUUCCAUAUUUUU